AUAAAAGGAAAACACACACACACACACACUUGGUGUGUGCGUGGAACGAGCAGGAAGAAGAAGAACAAGGGUUCAAACCCUUGUUCUUGAUAAAUCAUCAAAUUGAAGGGUGGAAUGAGGUCCAAAUUCACAACUGAACAUGAAUUAACGAUCACCUUCGCAAGGGGAUCAUAAGGAAUCAUGUCAAGAUGGAUGGGAGCUUUGAAGGCUAACGGGCUAAGAGGACUCAGUCAAGUAAGCGAACGAGAAUACGGACGCGCAAGGCUAUACAUGUUGGAUGUUUCAUCUAGAAGCGUACGCGGUUGAAGAUCGAGUCAAGACACGGAUUGUAUGUGGGUGUAUACGUAGUCACUUAAUUGAGUCAUGUAUG
Helianthus annuus (common sunflower) is the source of this 370-nucleotide long non-coding RNA. RefSeq lists it as uncharacterized. The record is from RefSeq and is a predicted model, not a curated record. NCBI's taxonomy places the organism in Eukaryota, Viridiplantae, Streptophyta, Magnoliopsida, Asterales, Asteraceae. The transcript has 3 exons.